AGAGUUUGAUCCUGGCUCAGGACGAACGCUGGCGGCGUGCCUAACACAUGCAAGUCGAACGGAGUGUUACGCUGAAAUUGAGAUUAGCUUGCUAAAGGAGAUUUCUUGUAGCACUUAGUGGCGGACGGGUGAGUAACGCGUGAGCAACCUGCCUUUCAGAGGGGGACAACAGUUGGAAACGACUGCUAAUACCGCAUAACAUACCAUUUGGGCAUCCAGGAGGUAUCAAAGGAGCAAUCCGCUGAAAGAUGGGCUCGCGUUGGAUUAGAUAGUUGGCGGGGUAACGGCCCACCAAGUCAACGAUCCAUAGCCGGACUGAGAGGUUGAACGGCCACAUUGGGACUGAGACACGGCCCAG
This 358-nucleotide ribosomal RNA is filed under the name uncultured bacterium. RNAcentral's name for it is "bacterial SSU rRNA". It matches the Rfam family "Bacterial small subunit ribosomal RNA", at positions 8 to 334 of the family's 1533-position model. The record is from RNAcentral.